RNAcentral lists this small RNA (4066 nucleotides) under Pedobacter sp. BAL39. Its description in RNAcentral is "bacterial LSU rRNA". The stretch from base 1286 to 4066 matches the Rfam family "Bacterial large subunit ribosomal RNA". Lineage: Bacteria; Pseudomonadati; Bacteroidota; Sphingobacteriia; Sphingobacteriales; Sphingobacteriaceae. The record is from RNAcentral.
UGACGCUGAGGCACGAAAGCGUGGGGAUCAAACAGGAUUAGAUACCCUGGUAGUCACGCCUAAACGAUGAAUACUCGCUGUUAGCGAUAUACAGUUAGCGGCUAAGCGAAAGCGUUAAGUAUUCCACCUGGGGAGUACGCCCGCAAGGGUGAAACUCAAAGGAAUUGACGGGGGCCCGCACAAGCGGAGGAGCAUGUGGUUUAAUUCGAUGAUACGCGAGGAACCUUACCCGGGCUUGAAAGUUAGUGAAUCAUUUAGAGAUAGAUGAGUGAGCAAUCACACGAAACUAGGUGCUGCAUGGCUGUCGUCAGCUCGUGCCGUGAGGUGUUGGGUUAAGUCCCGCAACGAGCGCAACCCCUAUGUUUAGUUGCCAGCACGUUAAGGUGGGGACUCUAAACAGACUGCCUGUGCAAACAGAGAGGAAGGAGGGGACGACGUCAAGUCAUCAUGGCCCUUACGUCCGGGGCUACACACGUGCUACAAUGGAUGGUACAGAGGGCAGCAAGCUGGCAACAGCAAGCAAAUCUCAAAAAGCCAUUCACAGUUCGGAUAGAGGUCUGCAACUCGACCUCUUGAAGUUGGAUUCGCUAGUAAUCGCGUAUCAGCAAUGACGCGGUGAAUACGUUCCCGGGCCUUGUACACACCGCCCGUCAAGCCAUGGAAGUUGGGGGUACCUAAAGUAUGUAACCGCAAGGAGCGUCCUAGGGUAAAACCGAUAACUGGGGCUAAGUCGUAACAAGGUAGCCGUACCGGAAGGUGCGGCUGGAAUACCUCCUUUCUGGAGUAGGUCAGACUACUCGCUGCGCAAAUGAUAUAAAUGACAGAAGAUCUCAAAAAGAAACACCCAUAGGAUGAAACAUCGUUUAGUGUUCUCAUACUGAAGUAAAGACACCUAGUCCCGUAGCUCAGUUUGGUUAGAGCACUACACUGAUAAUGUAGGGGUCAGCAGUUCAAAUCUGCUCGGGACUACAGAUAUAUUCUAAGGGGGAUUAGCUCAGCUGGCUAGAGCGCCUGCCUUGCACGCAGGAGGUCAACGGUUCGACUCCGUUAUUCUCCACCAUGACCGGUACUUAAGAUAGAAGGUACAGAAAUAGGGUUCAGGAAUGAACUCCGGGAUAGAAAAGUUCUUUGACAUAUUGGAAGAAGUUAAAAAAGAAGAGCAAACAACAAUAGAGACGUUGUUAGCUUUGAGGAAUGAAAUGAGUAAGCAAUUACAAAUAGAAAUCCGAAAGAGAUAACAACCAUCAAAAAAAGCAUUUCCAUAGGCGCAAAAGGCUAUGGAGAGAAGAAAGUAAAUAAGAGCACACAGGGGAUGCCUUGGCUCUCAGAGGCGAUGAAGGACGUGAUAAGCUGCGAUAAGCACUGGGGAUUAGCAAAUAUGAAUUGAUCCGGUGAUUUCCGAAUGGGGAAACCUGGCUAGUUGAAGACUAGUCGUAUAAUACGCAAACCUGCCGAACUGAAACAUCUAAGUAAGCAGAGGAAGAGAAAAUAAUAAUGAUUUCCUAAGUAGUGGCGAGCGAACGGGAAAGAGCCCAAACCAUAUUUGUUACGGCAAAUGUGGGGUUGUAGGACUACGAUAUGAUUAUAAUGCAAUGAAGUGGAACAGGAUGGGAAGCCUGGCAACAUAGAGUGAGAGCCUCGUACACGUAAGUACCAUUAGUCUAGUAGUAUCCUGAGUACCGCGAGGUCGGAGACGCCUUGUGGGAAUCUGCCGGCACCAUCCGGUAAGGCUAAAUACUCCUGAGAGACCGAUAGUGAACCAGUACCGUGAGGGAAAGGUGAAAAGAACCCCGAACAGGGGAGUGAAAUAGAACCUGAAACUGUGUGCUUACAAGCGGUCGGAGCGUCCAGGUGGCGUGACGGCGUGCCUUUUGCAUAAUGAGCCUACGAGUUACUCUUCUCUGGCAAGGUUAAGUGUUUAAGACACGGAUCCGAAGCGAAAGCGAGUCUGAAUAGGGCGUAUAGUCAGGGGAGGUAGACGCGAAACCUUGUGAUCUACCCAUGGACAGGUUGAAGGUGCGGUAACACGUACUGGAGGACCGAACCGAUAAACGUUGAAAAGUUUCCGGAUGAUCUGUGGGUAGGGGUGAAAGGCUAAUCAAACUGGGAAAUAGCUCGUACUCCCCGAAAUGUUUUUAGGAACAGCGUGGAUAUAAAGUUAUAUAGAGGUAGAGCUACUGAUUGGGUGCGGGGGAGUCAAAUCCUACCAAAUCCAGACAAACUCCGAAUGCUAUAUAAUAUGAUCUGCAGUGAGGCCCGGGGUGCUAAGGUCACGGGCCGAGAGGGAAAGAACCCAGACCAUCAGCUAAGGUCCCCAAGUUAUAGUUAAGUUGAACUAACGAGGUCCGAUUGCAUAGACAGCUAGGAUGUUGGCUUGGAAGCAGCCAUUCAUUUAAAGAGUGCGUAACAGCUCACUAGUCGAGCGAUCGGGCAUGGAUAAUAAACGGGCAUUAAACUAUACACCGAAGCUAUGGGUAAUAUUAAUAUUACGGUAGGGGAGCAUUCCAGCGGCAGCGAAGUUAUGACGUAAGUUGUGGUGGAGCUUCUGGAAAAGCAAAUGUAGGCAUAAGUAACGAUAAGGCGGGCGAGAAACCCGCCCACCGAAAGGAUAAGGUUUCCUGAUCAACGCUAAUCGGAUCAGGGUUAGUCGGGGCCUAAGGAGAACCCGAAAGGGAUAUUCGAUGGACAACGGGUUAAUAUUCCCGUACUUUUUAUAACUGCGAUGUGGUGACGGAGUAGUGACACUACCGCGAUCUGACGGAAUAGAUCGUUGAAGACAGUAGGUAUUGGUCUGGUAGGCAAAUCCGCCGGACUAGCUGAAAGUCGAUAGUACCGCGAACCUUCGGGUAAGUGGAUAGUGUAGGUAAUCAGACUUCCAAGAAAACCCGCUAAGCUUCAGGUUAUAAAAACCCGUACCGCAAACCGACACAGGUAUCCGGGAAGAGAAUUCUAAGGUGCUCGAGUGAAUCAUGGCUAAGGAACUCGGCAAAAUGGCCCUGUAACUUCGGGAGAAGGGGCGCUGGUAGCAAUAUCAGCCGCAGUGAAAAGGCCCAGGCGACUGUUUAACAAAAACACAUGGCUUUGCAAAAUCGAAAGAUGAAGUAUAAGGCCUGACACCUGCCCGGUGCUGGAAGGUUAAGAGGGGAUGUUAGUCGCAAGGCGAAGCAUUGAAUCGAAGCCCCAGUAAACGGCGGCCGUAACUAUAACGGUCCUAAGGUAGCGAAAUUCCUUGUCGGGUAAGUUCCGACCUGCACGAAUGGUGUAACGAUCUGGGCGCUGUCUCAGCCAUGAGCUCGGUGAAAUUGUGGUCCCGGUGAAGACGCCGGGUACCCGCAACGGGACGGAAAGACCCCAUGCACCUUCACUACAAUUUAACAUUGACAUUGGAUACAGGAUGUGUAGGAUAGGUGGGAGACUAUGAAGCGGCGUCGCCAGGCGUCGUGGAGUCAACGUUGAAAUACCACCCUUUCUGUAUUCGGUGUCUAACUUCGCCAAGCGAAGGACAUUGUUUGAUGGGUAGUUUGACUGGGGUGGUCGCCUCCAAAAAGGUAACGGAGGCUUUCAAAGGUAAGCUCAAUACGCUUGGUAACCGUAUGAGGAGUGCAAUAGCAUAAGCUUGCUUGACUGUGAGGCAUACAAGCCGAGCAGGGUCGAAAGACGGAUAUAGUGAUCCGGUGGUUCUGCAUGGAAGGGCCAUCGCUCAAAGGAUAAAAGGUACGCUGGGGAUAACAGGCUGAUCUCCCCCAAGAGCUCAUAUCGACGGGGAGGUUUGGCACCUCGAUGUCGGCUCGUCACAUCCUGGGGCUGGAGAAGGUCCCAAGGGUUCGGCUGUUCGCCGAUUAAAGUGGCACGCGAGCUGGGUUCAGAACGUCGCGAGACAGUUCGGUCCCUAUCUGUUGUGGGCGUAGGAAUUUUGAGUGGGGCUGACCUUAGUACGAGAGGACCGGGUUGGACUAGCCUCUAGUGAAUCUGUUGUUCCGCCAGGGGCAUUGCAGAGUAGCUACGCUGGGAAUAGAUAAGCGCUGAAAGCAUCUAAGUGCGAAACUAGCCACGAGAUGAGAAUUCC